Molecule: long non-coding RNA, 222 nt
Filed under: Capra hircus (goat)
Lineage: Eukaryota; Metazoa; Chordata; Mammalia; Artiodactyla; Bovidae
Description: lncRNA (ENSCHIG00010006327.1)
Source: RNAcentral
AGUGAGACCUGAUCACCAACUAGCAACACAGAAACUACUCUCAGCAGAGUCACUCCUUAAGGACUCAUGAGUUUAAAGAUGCAUUUCAAUAGGCUAUCCUUCUCACUGGGAGGGAUAAUACAUUCCUAGGAAAAAGAAACAUGAAACUGAGUCUCAUAGGCAUCAAGUGAAUUGAUGAGGCCGCAACACCAGCAAGGAGCAAGUUCCCCUGCUUCUCCAGGC